GCUAUAGCUCAGUUGGUAGAGUACCGGAUUGUGAUUCCGGUUGUCGUGGGUUCGAGCCCCACUAG
Molecule: transfer RNA, 65 nt
Filed under: insect gut metagenome
Rfam family: tRNA
About the family: Transfer RNA (tRNA) molecules are approximately 80 nucleotides in length. Their secondary structure includes four short double-helical elements and three loops (D, anti-codon, and T loops). Further hydrogen bonds mediate the characteristic L-shaped molecular structure. tRNAs have two regions of fundamental functional importance: the anti-codon, which is responsible for specific mRNA codon recognition, and the 3' end, to which the tRNAs corresponding amino acid is attached (by aminoacyl-tRNA synthetases). tRNAs cope with the degeneracy of the genetic code in two manners: having more than one tRNA (with a specific anti-codon) for a particular amino acid; and 'wobble' base-pairing, i.e. permitting non-standard base-pairing at the 3rd anti-codon position.
Source: RNAcentral